Suncus etruscus (white-toothed pygmy shrew) is the source of this 149-nucleotide long non-coding RNA. RefSeq lists it as uncharacterized. The transcript is spliced from 2 exons. The record is from RefSeq and is a predicted model, not a curated record. Lineage: Eukaryota; Metazoa; Chordata; Mammalia; Eulipotyphla; Soricidae.
UGCUCCUCUGUGCUAGAUAUCUUUCUUUAUCCUGUUAGUAUGGAAUGUCACCAUUUGAACAAGAUUUUUGAAGUGAUAUUCCAGGCAUGCAGAACUGAGAGUGGUAGGACUAACAGUGUGAAAUAAAUGAUUUACCUUGUCAAAUGCAA